UGUAGGUCUGCAGAUCUCCGCAGGUCUGGGAGAGUAUCUUGCUGGUCUGUGUGUAGGUCCGCAGAUCUCCGCAGGUCUGGGAGAGUAUCUUGCUGGUCUGUGUGUAGGUCUGCAGAUCUCCGCAGGUCUGGGAGAGUAUCUUGCUGGUCUGUGUGUAGGUCCGCAGAUCUCCGCAGGUCUGGGAGAGUAUCUUGCUGGUCUGUGUGUAGGUCCGCAGAUCUCCGCAGGUCUGGGAGAGUAUCUUGCUGGUCUGUGUGUAGGUCUGCAGAUCUCCGCAGGUCUGGGAGAGUAUCUUGCUGGUCUGUGUGUAGGUCUGCAGAUCUCCGCAGGUCUGGGAGAGUAUCUUGCUGGUCUGUGUGUAGGUCUGCAGAUCUCCGCAGGUCUGGGAGAGUAUCUUGCUGGUCUGUGCGGGGUGUCUGUUGAUCUAUUGCUCCUGUGUGAAGUGUUGGGGCUGCAUUUGAGAGCGAUGUCCUUUAGGGUCCGGGCGAAGGUGGGCACUGCUGCCUUGUAUAGGUGGACCUGGUCAUAAUGGCUGUUCUAAUCCAGGGUGGACCUGGUCAUAGAGGCUGCUCUAGUCCAGGGUGGAGUGGUGAGCCAGGAAUACGUUUGGUUUUGAGCCACAGUCACAGGAAAUACUUGCGUUUAUCGGCUGUAUGGUAGCAGGGUGGAGAGAACCACUUGUGCGUUGGAGAAAGUAGAAGAAGCUUUUUCAAUCACCCUUUCCUGUUGUGCGCUCCGGUCAUUUGUGCCUGUGUGUAUUAUUAUGUGGCAGGGUGACCCUAGUUGGUCCUCAGACAGAAGGUCUAGGGUGCGCUGGGUGUUUGGACACCAGAGUGUAGACACUGUGUUUGGGGAAAAAGUUUAUUUUCUUGUAUGUAUUUUAUGUUUGUACUACUUGGAUUCAAUCUAUGUCUUGUGU
Molecule: long non-coding RNA, 919 nt
Organism: Oncorhynchus keta (chum salmon)
Lineage: Eukaryota; Metazoa; Chordata; Actinopteri; Salmoniformes; Salmonidae
Exons: 3
Source: RefSeq, a predicted model, not a curated record